UGGGGAGGUGGCUCAGUGGUAGAGUGCUUACCUAGCAUGCAUGAGGACCUGGGUUUGAUCCCCAGCACCUAA
This 72-nucleotide transfer RNA is filed under the name Marmota monax (woodchuck). RNAcentral describes it as "tRNA.Ala". It matches the Rfam family "tRNA". Rfam says of the family: Transfer RNA (tRNA) molecules are approximately 80 nucleotides in length. Their secondary structure includes four short double-helical elements and three loops (D, anti-codon, and T loops). Lineage: Eukaryota; Metazoa; Chordata; Mammalia; Rodentia; Sciuridae. The record is from RNAcentral.